GUUUCUACAGGGGUGGGAGGUAAACCUAGAGGUUUCUACAGGGGUGGGAGGUGAGGAGGUAAACCUAGAGGUUUCUGCAGGGGUGGAAGGUGAGGAGGUAAACCUAGAGGUUUCUACAGGGGUGGGAGGUAAACCUAGAGGUUUCUACAGGGGUGGAAGGUGAGGAGGUAAACCUAGAGGUUUCUGCAGGGGUGGAAGGUGAGGAGGUAAACCUAGAGGUUUCUACAGGGGUGGGAGGGGAUAAUAAACCUAGAGGUUUCUGCAGGGGUGGAAGGGGAGGUAAAGAAUAGUGUACACUACUGAUUCAUGUUUUAGUUUGAUUCUUAUUACUGUAAAGAAUAGUGUACACUACUGAUUCAUGUUUUAGUUUGAUUCUUAUUACUGUAAAGAAUAGUGUACACUACUGAUUCAUGUUUUAGUUUGAUUCUUAUUACUGUAAAGAUGAAAUGGGAUUUUUCUCACUCUUGCAUUUCUUCUGUAGAGCUUAAAAACAUUUCCUUUCUGUUUUUGCUAUUUUUUCUAUGACGAUCAGAUUGAGUGAUUGAUUAACCUCCCAACCCAAAGAUCCCGCCAAUUCACAUCGUGUCAGUGAUUUGAUUGGCUCCUCUCUCAAAGCUGCACGUUGUUGACGUCCCCUUCAGCCAGUCAGCAGGAAGGGGGGUUACCCCCUGUAACAGACAUCUCCUCCUCCUCUAGAUGACUCUGUAGUGAAGGAAGGGGGGGUUACCCCCUGUAACAGACAUCUCCUCCUCCUCUAGAUGACUCUGUAGUGAAGGAAGGGGGGGUUCCCCCUGUAACAGACAUCUCCUCCUCCUCUAGAUGACUCUGUAGUGAAGGAAGGGGGGGUUCCCCCCUGUAACAGACAUCUCCUCCUCUAGAUGACUCUGUAGUGAAGGAAAGGGGGUUCCCCCCUGUAACAGACAUCUCCUCCUCUAGAUGACUCUGUAGUGAAGGAAGGGGGGUUCCCCCCUGUAACAGACAUCUCCUCCUCCUCUAGAUGACUCUGUAGUGAUGGAAGGGGGGUUCCCCCCUGUAACAGACAUCUCCUCCUCCUCUAGAUGACUCUGUAGUGAAGGAAGGGGGGGUUACCCCCUGUAACAGACAUCUCCUCCUCUAGAUGACUCUGUAGUGAAGGAAGGGGGGGUGGUUGUUGUUUCGGCCACACAGCCAACAGAUAGUUCAAUAUUCAAUACUGUUCAAUCGUUGACCCCUGGCAUUUCUAUGAAUUCUAAAAGAACCUUAUCCGAUAGAUUUUAAUCGUCUUAUGAUCACUAUCAAGGGUUUAUUAAAUGAAGUUGAUGCUGCUGCUAUUUAUGACUUUCUUUUGCCUUAUCAUUUCACAGAGAGAGAGAGGGCCUUUCAGAGACUGUCAGAGAGUCUACACCAUAGAGAGAUACAUUCAAAGAUGUUCCAUUGAAUUCUAUGGGAAACACACAGUAAAGUAAUGACAUGCAUUCCCAACAUGUCAAUAGUGUUUCAGGGGAUUAGUUAAAGCAAGGCGAGGCACAGAAUCAAUCAUCUUGAUCAAAUAAUAGUUGAAUAUAACUUGAAUACGUAGUUAUUUGAUAUGUAAGGAGAUGUAUAAAUCAGUAAUGCUGUGAAGUCUGACUGCAAAUGUAGCUGAUCUCAAAGACCGUGAAGUCUGCACAUAGUAAACAAAUUCCAAAGACCGUAAACACAGUCUGCACAUAGUAAACUAAUUCCCUAAGACCGUAAACACAGUCUGCACAUAGUAAACAAAUUCCCUAAGAUCGUAAACACAGUCUGCACAUAGUAAACGAAUUCCCAUAUUCUACUACUCUUCAGCGCUCGGUUCUCCUAGCUUAGCACCAAUGGUUCCAUGUUCUGUUAGAACCCUCUGAACUGAUAGCUUAGCACUAAUGGUUCCAUGUUCUGUUAGAACCCUCUGAAUUGUCACAGAACCAUAAAACGUAGAUAUGGAAUGAUCUUAGGUCGUCUGUGACUUGAUGUUCCAUGGCCGGCUUGCUGUCCUAUCUGGGCAACGGGUGGGGCAGUCAUGACACGGUUGGGACUUGAUUGACCUUUCUGUUCUAUGAUCUUUUAAAAGCACGUAGGCAUUACUACCAUCGCUUCUCAAAUGGCACCCUGGCCAUAGUGCACAUUUGGGAUGCGGUCUACAUUUCUUUCAAAUGAAGGUUUGAAGGGGGUAACUACAUGAAGAACAUAUUAAUACAUAUAUUAUAUAUUAUGUAUAUAUUUUACUAAGACUGACCACAAAUAAACGGUCCUUCACUGAGACGGAGAGGGCUGAAAACAGAAUGGGUUCUAUAAUAGAACUCUAAUGGUUCUGAACCAUAGGGUGGGUUCUAUAAUAGAACUCUAAUGGUUCUGAAUCAUAGGGUGGGUUCUAUAAUAGAACGCUAAUGGUUCUGAACCAUAGGGUGGGUUCUGUAAGAGAACUCUAGUGGUUCUAGGGUUCUUCUGACUCUGUGCUCCUGUCUGGCUUCAUAGUAACUGCUUGUCAAAGCUUCUGUCAAGUCGUUUCCCAAAUGUUCCAUCUGUAUAGCAUGUCAAUAAAACACAUUUUGUCUGGAG
Oncorhynchus tshawytscha (Chinook salmon) is the source of this 2556-nucleotide long non-coding RNA. The record is from Ensembl. NCBI's taxonomy places the organism in Eukaryota, Metazoa, Chordata, Actinopteri, Salmoniformes, Salmonidae.